This 70-nucleotide transfer RNA is filed under the name Mus musculus domesticus (western European house mouse). RNAcentral describes it as "tRNA-Arg". Lineage: Eukaryota; Metazoa; Chordata; Mammalia; Rodentia; Muridae. The record is from RNAcentral.
UGGUAAUUAGUUUAAAAAAAAAUUAAUGAUUUCGACUCAUUAGAUUAUGAUGAUGUUCAUAAUUACCAAU